CAUCCGUACCUAGGCAGCCACCGGGACACCUGCAGCUGCAGUUGAACAGGAGCGGAAGGCUAACUGGACUAUCAGGGAAGGAAAGAGGAGCCAGUACUGUCUUCCUGGGAGGUGGGAGCAGCACCGCAGCCGCGGACAGCGUCACCCAGGUGGGGGCAGAGCGGGCGCUCGGCUUCAGUACCCAGAGCCAGGACAGCUCCCAGCGGGUCACCAAGGAGACGCCGCCCCCCACCCCACCCCCACCCUACCCCCUCCCGCACAGCACCAAACUCACAGUACCCAGCGUCAGGGACAACCUUGGGGUCCUUUACAGAGAAGAUUUUUUUUUUUUUUUUUUUUGAGACAGGGUACAU
This is a long non-coding RNA of Microtus ochrogaster (prairie vole), 353 nucleotides long. RefSeq lists it as uncharacterized. Lineage: Eukaryota; Metazoa; Chordata; Mammalia; Rodentia; Cricetidae. The record is from RefSeq and is a predicted model, not a curated record.